AGCGAACGCUGGCGGCAGGCCUAACACAUGCAAGUCGAACGAACCUUUCGGGGUUAGUGGCGGACGGGUGAGUAACACGUGGGAACGUGCCUUUAGGUUCGGAAUAACUCAGGGAAACUUGUGCUAAUACCGAAUGUGCCCUUCGGGGGAAAGAUUUAUCGCCUUUAGAGCGGCCCGCGUCUGAUUAGCUAGUUGGUUGAGGUAAUGGCUCACCAAGGCGACGAUCAGUAGCUGGUCUGAGAGGAUGAUCAGCCACAUUGGGACUGAGACACGGCCCAAACUCCUACGGGAGGCCGCAGUGGGGAAUCUUGCGCAAUGGGCGAAAGCCUGACGCAGCCAUGCCGCGUGAAUGAUGAAGGUCUUAGGAUUGUAAAAUUCUUUUACCGGGGACGAUAAUGACGGUACCCGGAGAAGAAGCCCCGGCUAACUUCGUG
RNAcentral lists this ribosomal RNA (434 nucleotides) under uncultured bacterium. RNAcentral's name for it is "partial 16S ribosomal RNA". It matches the Rfam family "Bacterial small subunit ribosomal RNA", at positions 29 to 507 of the family's 1533-position model. The record is from RNAcentral.